GGAAAUCCUCUUAGGUCGCCAUGGGGAAGCAAAUGCGCGGCGUUUACCGAUGUGUCGUUUUAAAGCGCUUUCUAACCGAGGUUUAUGGAGAAGGCGGCGAGGUCCCGCGACCCCGUGGCUGCUUUCAUAUAACUGCGUCUCCUGCGAGGCUUCUGCACGGGGGUUGCUUCUCGUUCCUGACUACCGGGGAGUAGGGUGGCAAAUGGUACCGAAGAGAAAGAGGCUGCGAUGAAUAGAAGGAGAAGGAGAGAGAGGGAAGCUGGAAAGACAGGAGUAUCUAGCAAUUUGUCAAAGAUAUCGGCCCGACUGCGAUCCUGUCGACGUUGUUGUCCUCUCUGGAGGGACGCGGCCAUGACAACGCGAUUUUUGAUCAUAAUUCCGUUUUAAUGAGUACCGAGGACGAAUGCGAUGUGCGUGUAACUUUUUAA
This is a long non-coding RNA of Eufriesea mexicana, 428 nucleotides long. RefSeq lists it as uncharacterized. The transcript has 3 exons. Lineage: Eukaryota; Metazoa; Arthropoda; Insecta; Hymenoptera; Apidae. The record is from RefSeq and is a predicted model, not a curated record.